RNAcentral lists this ribosomal RNA (492 nucleotides) under Treponema sp. III:12:3143. Its description in RNAcentral is "bacterial SSU rRNA". It matches the Rfam family "Bacterial small subunit ribosomal RNA", at positions 29 to 508 of the family's 1533-position model. Lineage: Bacteria; Pseudomonadati; Spirochaetota; Spirochaetia; Treponematales; Treponemataceae. The record is from RNAcentral.
AACGAACGCUGGCGGUGCGUUUUAAGCAUGCAAGUCGAACGGCAAGAAGGUGCUUGCACUUUCCUAGAGUGGCGGACUGGUGAGUAACACGUGGGUGAUCUACCUUUAAGAUGGGGAUAGCUUUUAGAAAUAAGAGAUAAUACCGAAUACACUUACGAUGUUUUGACAUUGUAAGAAAAGGAGCGUUUGCUCCGCUUAAAGAUGAGCCUGCGUCCCAUUAGCUAGUUGGUGAGGUAAAGGCCCACCAAGGCGAUGAUGGGUAUCCGGCCUGAGAGGGUGACCGACACAUUGGGACUGAGAUACGGCCCAAACUCCUACGGGAGGCAGCAGCUGAGAAUCUUCCGCAAUGGACGAAAGUCUGACGGAGCGACACCGCGUGAAUGAUGAAGGCCGAAAGGUUGUAAAAUUCUUUUGCAGACAAAGAAUAAGGAUAGUGGGAAAUAACUGUCUGAUGACGGUAGUUAUGCGAAUAAGCCCCGGCUAAUUACGUGC